This is a non-coding RNA of Paramormyrops kingsleyae, 1324 nucleotides long. Lineage: Eukaryota; Metazoa; Chordata; Actinopteri; Osteoglossiformes; Mormyridae. The record is from RefSeq and is a predicted model, not a curated record.
CUGGAGAAUCUGCUUAAUAAGAGCAUGAGGAUCCGUAUGACGGAUGGACGCACACUGGUGGGCCUGUUUCUCUGCACUGACCGUGACUGCAACGUCAUCCUGGGAUCUGCUCAGGAGUUCCUCAAAUCCACAGGAACCGGAUUGGGCCAACCAGCAAAAUAAACAGGAGUACAAAAUGUGUACGGUGUGGAAGUACCUCAAAAAGAACAAAAACCACAGUACAGGCAGUCCCCAGGUUAUGAACAAGAUUUGUUCCCUAAGUUUGUCUUUAAGUUGAAUUUGUAGGUAAGUCAGAAAAAUAAUACAUUACAUAAUUAUUAUACAGUAAUAAAUGUAACAUACAGUACUGUACCUUGAGCUGAUGAACAGCUGAAGCCGUGCAGUGUUUCCAUAGCAUCGUAAAGUAGUGCAUGCGUUCGUUAUUACGAACCAUUGUAUUUAAGCCAAAUUUUUUAUGUGGUAGGCAUUUUGGCAGUCCGUUCGUGAGUAUGAGCUGUCCAUAAGUCAGAUGUUUUUAACCCAGGGACCUGCUGGUAUAGCAGACUGCAAACUGCACGAGAUUCGUUCUCCCAGGGUGAGCCUCGAGUUCUGGGUCUGGCCAUGAUCCCCGGCCACCAUGUAGUCUCCAUCGAGGUGGAGGCAGAGAGCCUGCUCACCGCCUAGGAUGCUACCCAGUAAGGGGGGAGAGAGAGACUGAGAACGCACCAGGCAACACGGCGGCUCCUGCCAUGGUCUGUCCUCCAGGACCCUCUGAGACCACACAUCCACAAAGCCACAGCCACCUUCACACAGGCUUUGCUGGGGACCUUGUAUCACAUACGACCUCCAGUACAGACUCGGUCAAAAACCUGCAUACGGUGCCCAGUUUACCAGAAUGGCAAUCAUGGGCUCACUCAUCUUCCUGGGUGCUGGAUGUCUGAAAGACCCUCAGGUACUAGAAGUCCUGUCCUACCAAACCCCCUUGUUCAUCAUCCACUAUAACCCCCCCCCCCGCAAAAGAGAGAGAGAUGUCGAUGCUUUAUGGAAAUGGCAGUUGGCGUUCAUCGUGAUAUGGAGUAAGCAUGGAUCAAAUCGCACCACGUUCGACAAGGGAUUACACUGGAACGCCAAAGAUGACCAAUGGCCUCAAAACAGAUUGUUCCUUUAUGCAGGAGACAAAGAUGUCGACAUUGCCUGUCUCAGACAAGAACUUGGCAAGGAGAGGCCACAGAAACCUCUUAAAACGCAGACAGGCACAUUAUCACCCCCGGGAAAGAUGCCAAAAAGAACUGAUUGUUUUGAAAUGUGACUGGAGAAUUUCAUAAUAAACUAACUUUCAUCCCGA